This is an RNA transcript of Tribolium castaneum (red flour beetle), 860 nucleotides long. RefSeq lists it as uncharacterized. NCBI's taxonomy places the organism in Eukaryota, Metazoa, Arthropoda, Insecta, Coleoptera, Tenebrionidae. The record is from RefSeq and is a predicted model, not a curated record. The transcript has 3 exons.
UAUUGCUUCUUACAAUGAUCUGAUACAAAUACAUCAAGAAUAUCUCAGUUAUUUACCACAAUUUCUCAAGUACGUACACAAUGUUCCGGUUCAGUUUUCUAUCGUUAAUCUAUCUCUUAAGUAACUACAGCCCCCAAUAUUUGUGUCUCCAAGAAAAUUACUACUGGCGACAAUACACCGGAGACGUGCCUAAAGAUGCUGUAGUUGGGGGUCAAGACAUCAACCACAAAAACAUUUACAUCGGGCAGGCUUACGUCCAAAACGAAGGUCUAAUUGUAGCCCAAAUUUUUCCGAAGAUUAGAGAGGUUUAUGCGCCUAUUAACGGAAUCAAAAAAAUACAAAACCAUAUAAAGAUACUUUGUGGACCUUACGAAAAUUUUUAUUGGGCUUCUGCCAAUUCAAGUAAACUUCAUUUACAACUGAUUGGUCAACACGCUGUAAUUGGGGGACAUGAAGAUGGGCAUGGAGUUAUAAACAUUGGGAGGAUAAGUUAUGAAGGAGAAACGAAAAUUGGAAAAAUUAAUUCCUUCAGAACAGAAACAGCUGCAUUUUUUUUUAAUAAAAAUCAAAAAGAAGCAUUUGUUAACUCUUACGAGAUACUUUUGUACAGGGAAAAUAGUUACGAUAUUGAUGCUCGUAGUAAAACGGUCGCUGCGAGCAAAUGAACAAACAACUGUACUAUUUGAACGAUUUUUAAUAAUAUAUAAGAGUUUGUCGUUAUUUUCAGCAAAGUUUUUAAAAUUUGUUCCAUGAAUUCGCUUGCAGAGAGCAUUUCUUUAAGAGGUUCUCCGAAAAUUUUCAAGGCGAGCUGGCUAGUUUAAUUUGUGAAAUCGUCAAUAAACUCGCAACUCGUUAAAUUA